This 560-nucleotide ribosomal RNA is filed under the name Pseudogymnoascus roseus. RNAcentral's name for it is "eukaryotic LSU rRNA". The stretch from base 209 to 362 matches the Rfam family "5.8S ribosomal RNA". Lineage: Eukaryota; Fungi; Ascomycota; Leotiomycetes; Thelebolales; Thelebolaceae. The record is from RNAcentral.
CCCCUUCCGUAGGGUGACCUGCGGAAGGAUCAUUACAGUAGUCACCCAGGUUGCCGCAAGGCCUCCUGGGUAACCUACCACCCUUUGUUUAUUACACUUUGUUGCUUUGGCAAGCCUGCCCUCGGGCUGCUGGCUCCGGCCGGCGAGCGCUUGCCAGAGGACCUAAACUCUGUUUGUCUAUACUGUCUGAGUACUAUAUAAUAGUUAAAACUUUCAACAACGGAUCUCUUGGUUCUGGCAUCGAUGAAGAACGCAGCGAAAUGCGAUAAGUAAUGUGAAUUGCAGAAUUCAGUGAAUCAUCGAAUCUUUGAACGCACAUUGCGCCCCCUGGUAUUCCGGGGGGCAUGCCUGUCCGAGCGUCAUUACAACCCUCAAGCUCAGCUUGGUAUUGGGCCCCGCCGACCCGGCGGGCCCUAAAGUCAGUGGCGGUGCCGUCCGGCUCCGAGCGUAGUAAUUCUUCUCGCUCUGGAGGUCCGGUCGUGUGCUCGCCAGCAACCCCCAAUUUUUUUCAGGUUGACCUCGGAUCAGGUAGGGAUACCCGCUGAACUUAAGCAUAUCAU